UACGUAGGGGCAAGCGUUAUCCGGAUUUACUGGGUGUAAAGGGAGCGCAGACGGAACUGCAAGUCUGAUGUGAAAGCCCGGGGCUCAACCGCGGGACUGCAUCGGAUACUGUAGAUCUUGAGUGCCGGAGGGGCAAGCGGAAUUCCUGGUGUAGCGGUGAAAUGCGUAGAUAUCAGGAGGAACACCGGCGGCGAAGGCGGCUUGCUGGACGGCAACUGACGUUGAGGCUCGAAAGCGUGGGGAGCAAACAGGAUUAGAUACCCCGGUAGU
This 270-nucleotide ribosomal RNA is filed under the name uncultured prokaryote. RNAcentral's name for it is "partial 16S ribosomal RNA". It matches the Rfam family "Bacterial small subunit ribosomal RNA", at positions 524 to 794 of the family's 1533-position model. The record is from RNAcentral.